UGUCAUUAUGGGGUAUUGAGUGUAGACAGAUGAGGGGAAAAAGAGGACUUAAACAAUUUUAGAAUAAGGCUACAACAUCACCAACAAAAUGUAAAAAAGUGAACGGGUCUGAAUACUUUCUGAAUGCACUGUAUAUAUAGUACAUUUCUACUAUGUGUUCAUACAUCCCACUAUUUAUAUUGAGCAUCGUGGGGACACAAAUUUCCCACAUGAUGAAAGAAGUUCAAUCUUAUCUUAAGUCACCUUACUUAGAAAUAUGCAGCAUGUAAAUUUUGAUAAGCCAGGACCUCUACCAGAGAGGGAGAAAAGACAAGUAAUAAUGCAGAAGCUAUGCUUACCGUUUGAGAUGAUACUGUGCUUAAGUGAUAUAUAUUCUCAAAUUAAAAAUGCAAUUAAUCAAAUCACUGGUGCAAAAAAACCCUGAUAUUUUUUGACAUAGGUGUUACUUCAGCAUUGUUUGGGGGCCAACAGACCCCACUGAUGUAUGUGUUAAAAUAAUAAUGCUAACUAAAACAUCUUCUAACCUCAUUAAAACCCAAAAUUUAGAAAAAUAAAGUAUAUACCCCCUUUCUGUGACACAAACUGGGCUGUCACAUUUGAUUAAAGUGAUAAAAGGAUUGAUCACUGUGAUUGUCAUUACACCAAAUACGGAAAUAUUUCAUAUUUUAUUGUAUGCAUGAUCAUUUUGGGAGAAUGUACUUUGUGGUGCUGUUGAACUGUACUGUGUCACAUUAACAGGUGUUUCUAUUAUUUUGUCUACCCCACCGAUAUUAAUUAUGGUAGGGGAUGGCUCUACACUCGCAAUAUCAACGACGCCAAGUAUAGCAAACCAAAAAUUCGCAUGGCCUACACUACACUUCAUUACUACAGCACAGUAAAGCAUUUUGUCUUCAUUACGGGUAAAAAGCCUGUAACGACUAUCACCGUGGAACUUUUAGUACAAUUACUAUUCAUAGGCUGUAAGGUCAAGUACCAUCUUAGAAAAGUUCAUUUUGGAAACAUCUACUGGUCAGGUUGGACACAGUGUAGGUCAAAGAGAAGAGGAUGAAUCAAAAGUUCUCCAUCCGACAACCAACAAGAUCCUCUGCCACACGGAGAGGAAGAAAGUCCCUGAGUGUUUUACAAAGAUUGGAGUGGGCUGAGACUAGUGUGGACUUAGAGAUGGUCACCACCUUCCUUGAAAAGGUCAAGAUAGGCAUUUGUUUUUCCAUUCCAUUAGCUAUACCCCUUAUCCUUUUGCGGGUCACGGGGGUGGGUGGAGCCAAUCCCAGCUGACAUUGGGAAAGAGGCGGGGUACACCCUGGACAGGUCAAAACUCUAUCACAGGACUGACUUGUGAUAGACACCUACGGGCAAUUUAGAGUUGCCAAUUAACCUAACCUGCAUGUCUUUUUGACUGUGGGAGAAGUGGGAGGAGAACAUACAGGUCCACACUGAAAGGCCCUGUGAGGCAACAAUGCUAACAACUGCAACACCUUGCCAUCCAUCCUUUGUUCUUGUUGAAUAUUAUUUUGAAUAUAUAACAGUUCCUGCUACUUUCACUGAUAAAGUGUAAUUGAUGCAAUUACAAAACAGGAAAACGAACUGGGAGAGUAGUGUUUGCUAUGAUUCCCAAAGCUGGCAGAACUUUACAGAAGUGAAGUUUAGAUAUCCCAAGUAACGUUUUGAAAAUUUUGUUUCAUGUGAACAGAAUUACAACAUAUUGUUUUGUAUACUUUAAUUUGGGGAGAUAUUUGUUUAUUCUGCAGGAUCCCCAUUAGCUUCUGAAAUGGCCACAUAUUAAAAUGUCCAAAUAAAACAUUAAUACAAUAAAAUAUAAAUCGGAUAAAAUGUGUUUGGUGAAUUUCUCAGUGCAAUUAGACAUUAAUCACCAAAGAAAUAUAUCCUAUAUUGUGUUUAAAGGUUUUGAACCACAAUUUUAAUCAUGAUUUACAUAACUAACAGUGUAACAAGUGUUGGAAGCCAAGGUUUAAAACAGAAAUUGUUAAUUUCAGUGGCUAUAAUGACAACUCCUGCAGACAAAUUUUUGCUGUAGUAGUUUUCUGUUAAUACUGUGAGUCGGCAGACCAACAACUGCAUUAUUUUAUGUGAUUUUAUUAAUAUAGAAACAAACAAGUUUGUGACCAUGUUGUUAAAAACAGUAGGUGAACCCAUACACAGGACACAGACUCAGAGCUCAAAUGCCCAACAGAAAGUUUAUUACCUUAUCUCGGGAAAAAAAGGUUGAAGGGGAAUGAGGGUUCUGGUAAUAGGAUGCAGGGAGUGGGGGGAGCAGGCGCCCAGCAGGGAACAGUUGAGUGGGGAAUGGAGAAAGGGUAGUGAGUGGGGCUGGAUGACUGACUUGGCAAGCUGGGGAAUGAGCUGGGGAAUGGGCAGGCAGUUGAGCUGAGAGAGGAGUGAAGGCGAGGUGGAGAACGGGGCUAGAUAUCUGGCUGGCAGGGUAAUGAGCAUGGAAGCAAGCAGGUGAGAUGGUGGGUUAUGGAGGAUAGAGACUGUUGAAGCAAAGCUGGUUUGUUGAUAGCAUGGCAGGCAGAUAUGUGAGCGGGCAAGCUGGCAGGCAUGCAGUGAUCCUGAGUGCAAGGAUACAAUAACUAGCACAGAGCAAAACACGGAGGGAAUAACUUAGAACGUACCUAAGCAGCCAAACUGACAAACACAGUUGAAUUAAUAGAAAAUAUCACAACUUGAAUUGUAAUAUUUGUCAAAUUAAAUUGCAAUUCGAUAUUUGUUUUCAUAGAAUUUAAAAAAUGUGGUGUAAGUGUCUAGGCACAAUAACAGAGUGUUGGCCAAGAUAUCCUUGCCUGCUUUUAAAGGAUAGGUUUACUUUACUUGUUGUCAAAAAAUCCCAUUAAAAAACAAAAAACAAAAUGUGUUAAUCCAUGUCUCAGUACUUUCUGACUGAAAUAAUUUAUUUUUUAAAAAUGGCUCAGUAAUUUACUAAAACAGCUGGUUACUGUACUUUUAAUCAAACAUACUGGAGGAAAUAAUGCAUUGCUCACUGACAUUGUUUUCGGACAACAAUGGAGUUCUAAUGCAAUUAAUAUUACACUCCAGUUUGGUAUUUACAGAGAGAUAAAAGUGUUCGAAAAAGAUUCCUGAUUUGGCUGGAUUAAUUAACUAAGACUGCUACAGGAAGAAGACUUCAGAGACAUAGAGGAGACAGCUGGAGGAUGGCAACCAGUAAGAUCACCCUAUAAACACUGAAAACAGCCUUUAUCACUUUAUUUCUUCAAUUCUUUAUUGUCUCCCCAUUGGUGCUGUGAUGUUUUAAACAUGCUAAUCUUCUCUUCUGCUCUCUUCUCUUCUGCUGUAGCAAAUUUAGAGUGGCAGAAACGAGGCAAUAUGGCUCUGAACAUUUGGAUGUUUUCUGGGAGGAAAAGCACAAAAAAAGCACUAAGAAUUAAAGAGGGAGAACUCUUUGAAAAAUGAUCAGCUGAACACACCAGGUUGCCAUGUCUGUGUGAAAAAACCCAGCACAAUGGCUAAUCAAAACCAGCCCAAAAACCAGCCCAAUACCAGAACUCAAAAUAUGCCUUUUCCAAACCAUAUACACAAUUUUUAAAGUCCAACAGCAUUAUUAUCAUCGCCAAAUGACUGUAAUAUCUAUAAAGUAACACCAUAAAUGUUGUGUGCCAGCAUUAAAAGCAUUUUUCCUAAACAGUUCUUUCACCUAGGUCCUAAAAUGGCCUUGUGUAAUUAGAUACCCGGACCUGGCAAUCUUGGUUGUCUUGCUUUCUUUCUCUAGCAGAGUUGGGAUCGAGAGGCUGGUGCCAGGCAGCGGAGAGCAUGACAGCACAUUGUUGCCAGAGAGUUCUUCCACUGAACCAACCCUCUCCACCAACUUUGCCCCUGCCUGCCUCCAGCCCAGUGGACACAGAAAGAUGAGAAGACUGAAUAUUAUGUGUCCUCGUCAGCAAACAGAGUGACGUGAGGAUCAGAGAGCCAGUGGCAUGAAUCUGGCCAGGUGGAUGCAAGAGACAAGAGCCAUGUUUGACAUUUAAAUAUCCCUCUUCCUGUUUUACUUUGACUCUUCAGAUUCCCUCUGCUUUCUGGAUUUGUCAUUGCCUUGUUUUAGUGGAGUUUUAGUAACUUGUGGAGCAAUAAUUUAUUUUCGCAUUUUAAUUAUCCCUCGGAACUAUUGUAACUAAUCUCUGCAACAGCCUUUGUAAU
This is a long non-coding RNA of Xiphias gladius (swordfish), 4170 nucleotides long. RefSeq lists it as uncharacterized. The record is from RefSeq and is a predicted model, not a curated record. NCBI's taxonomy places the organism in Eukaryota, Metazoa, Chordata, Actinopteri, Istiophoriformes, Xiphiidae. The transcript is spliced from 3 exons.